Molecule: non-coding RNA, 414 nt
Organism: Paramuricea clavata
Lineage: Eukaryota; Metazoa; Cnidaria; Anthozoa; Malacalcyonacea; Plexauridae
Source: the annotation of a GenBank genome assembly
CCAGUUGUAAUGAAGCCGCCCCGCUUGGUCCAGCUGGUCUCAUUCCACGAGGUCCAAGUUCAAAAAUAGUACCAUCGUCGUACCGUUUCGAUUGGAUCCAUCCUCCUAAUCUCGCAGAUGAUUCCAGUACAGUGAUGUUCUUUGGAUUUGCGACCUUCCCAAGUAAGCGAUAUGCGGCAGAAAGUCCUGCUAUACCUCCACCAAGUAUCAGAAAUUUGCCACUUUCCGCCAUCAACAAUUCAAAUCACAGUUCUGUGUCAACACUCAAAUCAAUCAAUAAUCACUGCACAACAGCACAACUCACUGCACGAACUAUGAAAUUCCUUACUUUUCGGAAAAAUUCCUUCCAUUCAAUGCGUCAUUUUAAUUUUACCGGUAUAUAAAAGUGCAGCAAUAAAAAGUACUGUAAUGAAA